This 1248-nucleotide ribosomal RNA is filed under the name metagenome. RNAcentral's name for it is "bacterial LSU rRNA". It matches the Rfam family "Bacterial large subunit ribosomal RNA", at positions 1635 to 2875 of the family's 2925-position model. The record is from RNAcentral.
CAUACGACCGUACCGCAAACCGACACUGGUGCGCGAGAUGAGUAUUCUAAGGCGCUUGAGAGAACUCAGGAGAAGGAACUCGGCAAAUUGACACCGUAACUUCGGAAGAAGGUGUGCCCUAUUAGUGUGUAGUGAACAACGAAGCAUGAAUGGGUUGCAAAAAAUCGGUGGCUGCGACUGUUUAUUAAAAACACAGCACUCUGCAAACACGAAAGUGGACGUAUAGGGUGUGACGCCUGCCCGGUGCUGGAAGAUUAAAUGAUGGGGUGCAAGCUCUUGAUUGAAGUCCCAGUAAACGGCGGCCGUAACGAUAACGGUCCUAAGGUAGCGAAAUUCCUUGUCGGGUAAGUUCCGACCUGCACGAAUGGCGUAACGAUGGCCACACUGUCUCCUCCUGAGACUCAGCGAAGUUGAAAUGUUUGUGAUGAUGCAAUCUCCCCGCGGAAAGACGGAAAGACCCCAUGAACCUUUACUGUAGCUUUGUAUUGGACUUUGAACAGAUCUGUGUAGGAUAGGUGGGAGGCUUUGAAGCAGGGUCGCUAGAUCUUGUGGAGCCAACGUUGAAAUACCACCCUGGUGUGUUUGAGGUUCUAACCUAGGUCCAUUAUCUGGAUCGGGGACAGUGCAUGGUAGGCAGUUUGACUGGGGCGGUCUCCUCCCGAAGCGUAACGGAGGAGUUCGAAGGUACGCUAGUUACGGUCGGACAUCGUGACGAUAGUGCAAUGGCAUAAGCGUGCUUAACUGCGAGACUGACAAGUCGAGCAGAUGCGAAAGCAGGACAUAGUGAUCCGGUGGUUCUGUAUGGAAGGGCCAUCGCUCAACGGAUAAAAGGUACUCUGGGGAUAACAGGCUGAUACCGCCCAAGAGUUCAUAUCGACGGCGGUGUUUGGCACCUCGAUGUCGGCUCAUCUCAUCCUGGGGCUGUAGCCGGUCCCAAGGGUAUGGCUGUUCGCCAUUUAAAGAGGUACGUGAGCUGGGUUUAAAACGUCGUGAGACAGUUUGGUCCCUAUCUUCCGUGGGCGCUGCAGAUUUGAGGAAGCCUGCUCCUAGUACGAGAGGACCGGAGUGGACACACCUCUGGUGUAUCGGUUGUCACGCCAGUGGCAUUGCCGAGUAGCUAAGUGUGGAAGAGAUAACCGCUGAAAGCAUCUAAGCGGGAAACUCGUUUCAAGAUGAGAUCUGCCGGGGCCUCGAGCCCCCUAAAGAGUCGUUCAAGACCAGGACGUUGAUAGGUCAGGUGUGGAAGCG